AGUGAACGCUGGCGGUAGGCCUAACACAUGCAAGUCGAACGGCAGCACAGUAAGAGCUUGCUCUUACGGGUGGCGAGUGGCGGACGGGUGAGGAAUACAUCGGAAUCUACUUUUUCGUGGGGGAUAACGUAGGGAAACUUACGCUAAUACCGCAUACGACCUACGGGUGAAAGCAGGGGAUCUUCGGACCUUGCGCGAUUGAAUGAGCCGAUGUCGGAUUAGCUAGUUGGCGGGGUAAAGGCCCACCAAGGCGACGAUCCGUAGCUGGUCUGAGAGGAUGAUCAGCCACACUGGAACUGAGACACGGUCCAGACUCCUACGGGAGGCAGCAGUGGGGAAUAUUGGACAAUGGGCGCAAGCCUGAUCCAGCAAUACCGCGUGAGUGAAGAAGGCCUUCGGGUUGUAAAGCCCUGUUGUUGGGAAAGAAAAGCAGCAGGUGAAUACCCCGCUGUUCUGACGGUACCCAAAGAAUAAGCACCGGCUAACUUCGUG
This 492-nucleotide ribosomal RNA is filed under the name uncultured bacterium. Its description in RNAcentral is "partial 16S ribosomal RNA". It matches the Rfam family "Bacterial small subunit ribosomal RNA", at positions 29 to 507 of the family's 1533-position model. The record is from RNAcentral.